AUCCCUAUUUGUCACACAAAAGAAAGGAAUAAAAGGCAAGUGGGCGGCAAUGUUUAGAUAAGAUCAAACUUUAUCUUAUAUGGUAUCCUAUUCAAAUCAGAUUUGAACAUACCAUUAAAGAUCAGAUUAUUACCCAUAUUUGGAUGGGAGAAAGAGAGGGUGGAGGACUCUUUUGCAUGAAGAAAUCUCAUGCAAAAACUCAUUUCAGCAUGGAGAAAAUUGGCAUCAAAAGUUGUGGCGC
This 241-nucleotide long non-coding RNA is filed under the name Elaeis guineensis (African oil palm). Its description in RNAcentral is "long non-coding RNA (EGUI_LNC064296)". Lineage: Eukaryota; Viridiplantae; Streptophyta; Magnoliopsida; Arecales; Arecaceae. The record is from RNAcentral.